AGUACCACGUCCCUUUGUGCCUGCACUUCAUGCCUCAUAAUAAACAUUCCAUUACUGAUUUUAAAAAGCUAUAUAUAGAAAGAAGACAAAAAAAAAUGGCCAUGUUCUGUGCUAGAACAAAUUCAGAAGAGUUUUUUUGUUUGUUUGAUUGUUUUUGUUUUUUGACAGAGUCUCAUUCUGUGGCCCAGGCUGGAGUGCAGUGGCACGAUCUCAGCUCACU
This 220-nucleotide long non-coding RNA is filed under the name Homo sapiens (human). Its description in RNAcentral is "HSALNT0297074". Lineage: Eukaryota; Metazoa; Chordata; Mammalia; Primates; Hominidae. The record is from RNAcentral.